UGCAAGUCGAACGAUGAAGCCCAGCUUGCUGGGUGGAUUAGUGGCGAACGGGUGAGUAACACGUGAGUAACCUGCCCUUAACUCUGGGAUAAGCCUGGGAAACUGGGUCUAAUACCGGAUAGGAGCGCCCACCGCAUGGUGGGUGUUGGAAAGAUUUAUCGGUUUUGGAUGGACUCGCGGCCUAUCAGCUUGUUGGUGAGGUAAUGGCUCACCAAGGCGACGACGGGUAGCCGGCCUGAGAGGGUGACCGGCCACACUGGGACUGAGACACGGCCCAGACUCCUACGGGAGGCAGCAGUGGGGAAUAUUGCACAAUGGGCGCAAGCCUGAUGCAGCGACGCCGCGUGAGGGAUGACGGCCUUCGGGUUGUAAACCUCUUUCAGUAGGGAAGAAGCGAAAGUGACGGUACCUGCAGAAGAAGCACCGGCUAACUACGUGCCAGCAGCCGCGGUAAUACGUAGGGUGCGAGCGUUAUCCGGAAUUAUUGGGCGUAAAGAGCUCGUAGGCGGUUUGUCGCGUCUGUCGUGAAAGUCCGGGGCUUAACCCCGGAUCUGCGGUGGGUACGGGCAGACUAGAGUGCAGUAGGGGAGACUGGAAUUCCUGGUGUAGCGGUGGAAUGCGCAGAUAUCAGGAGGAACACCGAUGGCGAAGGCAGGUCUCUGGGCUGUAACUGACGCUGAGGAGCGAAAGCAUGGGGAGCGAACAGGAUUAGAUACCCUGGUAGUCCAUGCCGUAAACGUUGGGCACUAGGUGUGGGGACCAUUCCACGGUUUCCGCGCCGCA
RNAcentral lists this ribosomal RNA (783 nucleotides) under Micrococcus sp. ER-1. RNAcentral's name for it is "bacterial SSU rRNA". It matches the Rfam family "Bacterial small subunit ribosomal RNA", at positions 56 to 850 of the family's 1533-position model. Lineage: Bacteria; Bacillati; Actinomycetota; Actinomycetes; Micrococcales; Micrococcaceae. The record is from RNAcentral.